Molecule: ribosomal RNA, 513 nt
Filed under: uncultured bacterium
Lineage: Bacteria
Description: partial 16S ribosomal RNA
Rfam family: Bacterial small subunit ribosomal RNA
Source: RNAcentral
GACGAACGCUGGCGGCAUGCCUAAUACAUGCAAGUCGAGCGAACAGAUGAAGUGCUUGCACUUCUGACGUUAGCGGCGAACGGGUGAGUAACACGUAAGGAAUCUACCUAUAAGCGGGGGAUAACAUUCGGAAACGGGUGCUAAUACCGCAUAAUAUCUUCUUCCGCAUGGAAGAAGAUUGAAAGACGGCUUUGCUGUCACUUAUAGAUGACCUUGCGGUGCAUUAGUUAGUUGGUGGGGUAAUGGCCUACCAAGACGAUGAUGCAUAGCGGACCUGAGAGGGUGAUCGGCCACAUUGGGACUGAGACACGGCCCAAACUCCUACGGGAGGCAGCAGUAGGGAAUCUUCCGCAAUGGGCGAAAGCCUGACGGAGCAAUACCGCGUGAGUGAAGAAGGCCUUCGGGUCGUAAAACUCUGUUAUAAGAGAAGAACAAAUUGUAGAGUAACUGCUACAGUCUUGACGGUAUCUUAUCAGAAAGCCACGGCUAACUACGUGCCAGCCGCCGCCGUAA